GGCCAGCGCAAGCUCUUCAGUCACACAUAAAUCUUUUGCCUUCUACUAAAGAUUUCCGUGGAGCGGAACGUUGACAAGUUCAGAUAAUUUUGUGGGCUUUGCUGUGGCAAAAG
This is a small nuclear RNA of Ictalurus furcatus (blue catfish), 113 nucleotides long. RefSeq annotates it as U5 spliceosomal RNA. The transcript has a single exon. The record is from RefSeq and is a predicted model, not a curated record. Lineage: Eukaryota; Metazoa; Chordata; Actinopteri; Siluriformes; Ictaluridae.